GACAGAGGGUGCAAACGUUGUUCGGAAUUACUGGGCGUAAAGCGCGUGUAGGCGGCUAAGUAAGUCGGGCGUGAAAUCCCACGGCUCAACCGUGGAAGUGCACUCGAAACUGCAUAGCUAGAGUCCUGGAGAGGAAGGUGGAAUGCUUGGUGUAGAGGUGAAAUUCGUAGAUAUCAAGCGGAACACCGGUGGCGAAGGCGGCCUGCUGGGCAGUAGCUGACACUGAGGCGCGACAGCGUGGGGAGCAAACAGG
RNAcentral lists this ribosomal RNA (253 nucleotides) under uncultured bacterium. RNAcentral describes it as "partial 16S ribosomal RNA". It matches the Rfam family "Bacterial small subunit ribosomal RNA", at positions 524 to 776 of the family's 1533-position model. The record is from RNAcentral.